This 29-nucleotide small RNA is filed under the name Bombyx mori (domestic silkworm). RNAcentral describes it as "ovarian small RNA-28158". Lineage: Eukaryota; Metazoa; Arthropoda; Insecta; Lepidoptera; Bombycidae. The record is from RNAcentral.
UCGAACUCAGCGAGACUCCUGUUCGGAGA